Molecule: long non-coding RNA, 527 nt
Organism: Pangasianodon hypophthalmus (striped catfish)
Lineage: Eukaryota; Metazoa; Chordata; Actinopteri; Siluriformes; Pangasiidae
Exons: 4
Source: RefSeq, a predicted model, not a curated record
UGAACCUGAGGCUGAAGCUGAGGCUAAAACUGAACCUGAAGCUGAACCUGAGGCUGAAGCCGUUGCUGAAGAAAGAAAGCCAGAAGACACAGAAACAGAGAACAGCACAUCUCUGGAUGGAGCAAAAGGCAACAAUGCAGACCAGCCAGCCGAAAGCAUCAGGAAAGGAAACGAGAAAAAGAAAUGGACCAGGAGAGGAACACGAGGCAGAGGGAGAAAGAUCAAUUACGAAAAAUUACAGGCCAACAAAGCAGAAGAAGAUAAGGCUGAAGCUGUUGCUGAAGCAGAGACUAAAGUUGAGGCUGAAGUAGAUGCUAAAGAUGAGGUUGAAGCUGAGGCUGACCCUGAAGAAAGAAAGCCAGAAGGUGCUGAAACAGAGAACAGCACAUUCCUGGUAAACGGCAAUAAGACGGAGAAGACUGUUGAAAACAGUGGGAAUGGAAAUGAGAAAAAGAAAAGGACCAGGAGAGGGACACGAGGAAAAGGAAGGAAGAUAAAUUACAAAAAGUUCCAGGCCAACAAAGAAG